CCCCUAGACGUUCUGGGCUGCACGCGCGCUACAAUAAUACGCACAGCGAGUAUCACCGAGCUCGAAAGGGCAAGGUAAACAAUAGAAAAGGUACUGUAAUGGUUAUAGAUCCUUGUAACUAUUGAUCUUCAACGAGGAAUUCCUAGUAAGUAUGUGUCAUCAUCACGCACUGAUUACGUCCCUGCCCUUUGUACACACCGCCCGUCGCUCCUACCGAUUGGGUGAGCCGAUGAAACUCUCGGAUGUAGGCUAUUCAUAGCCCGCAGAAGAGAUUUGAAUCGUAGCGCUUAGAGGAAGGAGAAGUCGUAACA
RNAcentral lists this ribosomal RNA (311 nucleotides) under uncultured eukaryote. RNAcentral describes it as "partial 18S ribosomal RNA". It matches the Rfam family "Eukaryotic small subunit ribosomal RNA", at positions 1470 to 1796 of the family's 1831-position model. The record is from RNAcentral.